AGCAGUCGCCGCGGGAAAACGGAGGGUGCAAGCGUUGUCCGGAUUUAUUGGGUUUAAAGGGUGCGUAGGCGGCCUAAUAAGUCAGUGGUGAAAGCCUCCAGCUUAACUGGAGAACUGCCAUUGAUACUGUUAGGCUUGAGUAUACUUGAGGUAGGCGGAAUUGACAGUGUAGCGGUGAAAUGCAUAGAUAUUGUCAAGAACACCAAUUGCGAAGGCAGCUUACUAAAUUAUAACUGACGCUGAGGCACGAAAGUGUGGGUAUCAAACAGGAUUAGAUACCCGCGUAGUCCCUGUCUCUUAUAC
Molecule: ribosomal RNA, 303 nt
Filed under: uncultured bacterium
Lineage: Bacteria
Description: partial 16S ribosomal RNA
Rfam family: Bacterial small subunit ribosomal RNA
Source: RNAcentral